Molecule: non-coding RNA, 978 nt
Organism: Drosophila virilis
Lineage: Eukaryota; Metazoa; Arthropoda; Insecta; Diptera; Drosophilidae
Source: RefSeq, a predicted model, not a curated record
GGAGAGCUCACGAAAGCGACGUUGCCCCUCCUCCAAGCUGACCAUGCGAUCGCCAGUCUGAUCUGUCUUAUUGCCCACCAGUAUGACGGCCAGCUGCUCACCUUGCUGGCGGAGCCCAGUUUGCGUCUACGCUUGUUGUAGUUGAUGAGGAACUUCAGCCGGCUGCACUCGUCAAAGGAGCAUUUAUCUGUAAUCGAGUAAACGAGUAUAAAUGCGUCGGCCCAGCGUAUAUUGGACUCCAGUGUAACGCCAUCUAGUUCCUGCAAGAGUUCAGUUAGAUUUCAUUAUGAAUCCUCUCAAGAUUCUCUCAAUCCAGCUCACGUGCAGCUGCCCGGUGGCAUCCAGUAUAUCAAACUGAACCGACUCUUUGUCCAGUGUUGUUUGGCAGGUAUAGAUUUUCUCCAAAUUCGGAUCAUAUUCGCCAAUAAAACGGCGUGUAAUAAAACGCACAACCAUAGCUGCAAAUUAAAGAGCAGCGAGCAGUGUGUUAGUCCUGGCCGUGUCUGGAGCAUUGUUUUUAAAUGACACCCACCCGUUUUACCAACGCCGCUCUGGCCGAGCACCAUGACCUUUAGCGUCUUUUGUUUGCUGGUAUGCAGGCCCAGUUUGACCAGCGAGGACUUGGGCGAGGUGGCAUUCAUGGCUGGGCCAGGAAAAAGCACGCACAGUACGUCAGCAAAAAGGCGUCCGGGAAUCGGCUUAGAGCGCCUUGGGCCUGAACUGUGACAAUGCCGUCUGCUCUAAAUGACUGGAAGAACCUUUUCAAUACCCUAAAAGCAGACUGAUGAGGAGUUUUAUUCAAUUAGACGUAAAGGUCGGUAAAGACAUAAAUACAAAGUUAAUAUUUCAAUUAGUUCCAAAAGGCAGAACCAUUAUGAGCACAGAUCCAUGGGAAAAUUCAUAAUUCUCUAAAGCUUUAGAUAUAGAAAUCGUAUUUGUAUUCAGAUCAGGUUAAAUAUAAAUUGACUUUAAUAUUAA